GGGCUGAAGGCGGUCCCAAGGGUUAGGCUGUUCGCCUAUUAAAGCGGUACGCGAGCUGGGUUCAGACCGGCGUGAGCCAGGUCGGUCCCUAUCUGCUGUGGGCGUUGCAAGCUUGAGAGGAGUCAACCUUAGUACGAGAGGACUGGGUUGGACGAACCCCUGGUGAUCCUGUUGCGCCGCUAGGCGCACCGCAGGGUAGCUACGUUCGGCAGGGAUAACCGCUGAAAGC
This 229-nucleotide ribosomal RNA is filed under the name Chloropicon laureae. RNAcentral describes it as "partial Bacterial large subunit ribosomal RNA". It matches the Rfam family "Bacterial large subunit ribosomal RNA", at positions 2550 to 2778 of the family's 2925-position model. The record is from RNAcentral. Lineage: Eukaryota; Viridiplantae; Chlorophyta; Chloropicophyceae; Chloropicales; Chloropicaceae.